Molecule: ribosomal RNA, 467 nt
Filed under: uncultured bacterium
Lineage: Bacteria
Description: partial 16S ribosomal RNA
Rfam family: Bacterial small subunit ribosomal RNA
Source: RNAcentral
GACGAACGCUGGCGGCGUGCUUAACACAUGCAAGUCGAACGGAAAGGCCCUGCUUUUGUGGGGUGCUCGAGUGGCGAACGGGUGAGUAACACGUGAGUAACCUGCCCUUGACUUUGGGAUAACUUCAGGAAACUGGGGCUAAUACCGGAUAGGAGCUCCUGCUGCAUGGUGGGGGUUGGAAAGUUUCGGCGGUUGGGGAUGGACUCGCGGCUUAUCAGCUUGUUGGUGGGGUAGUGGCUUACCAAGGCUUUGACGGGUAGCCGGCCUGAGAGGGUGACCGGCCACAUUGGGACUGAGAUACGGCCCAGACUCCUACGGGAGGCAGCAGUGGGGAAUAUUGCACAAUGGGCGGAAGCCUGAUGCAGCAACGCCGCGUGCGGGAUGACGGCCUUCGGGUUGUAAACCGCUUUCGCCUGUGACGAAGCGUGAGUGACGGUAAUGGGUAAAGAACACCGGCUAACUACGUG